Molecule: ribosomal RNA, 569 nt
Filed under: Peptostreptococcus stomatis
Lineage: Bacteria; Bacillati; Bacillota; Clostridia; Peptostreptococcales; Peptostreptococcaceae
Description: bacterial SSU rRNA
Rfam family: Bacterial small subunit ribosomal RNA
Source: RNAcentral
CCUGAUGCAGCAACGCCGCGUGAACGAUGAAGGUCUUCGGAUCGUAAAGUUCUGUUGCAGGGGAAGAUAAUGACGGUACCCUGUGAGGAAGCCCCGGCUAACUACGUGCCAGCAGCCGCGGUAAUACGUAGGGGGCUAGCGUUAUCCGGAUUUACUGGGCGUGAAGGGUGCGUAGGUGGUCCUUCAAGUCGGUGGUUAAAGGCUACGGCUCAACCGUAGUAAGCCGCCGAAACUGGAGGACUUGAGUGCAGGAGAGGAAAGUGGAAUUCCCAGUGUAGCGGUGAAAUGCGUAGAUAUUGGGAGGAACACCAGUAGCGAAGGCGGCUUUCUGGACUGCAACUGACACUGAGGCACGAAAGCGUGGGUAGCAAACAGGAUUAGAUACCCUGGUAGUCCACGCUGUAAACGAUGAGUACUAGGUGUCGGGGGUUACCCCCCUCGGUGCCGCAGCUAACGCAUUAAGUACUCCGCCUGGGGAGUACGCACGCAAGUGUGAAACUCAAAGGAAUUGACGGGGACCCGCACAAGUAGCGGAGCAUGUGGUUUAAUUCGAAGCACGCGAAGAACCU